AUAAAAUAUAUUAGCCAUUCCAUCAGAUGGCUGGAGAGAAAAACUAGUUGCAAUGAGGAAAAACGAAUUAAAGGAGCAUUAAUAAAGAUUAUCUAUGAAAGAAAAUAAGGUCAAAAUUAGAACUCUGCAUUUUAAAGCCACCUUUCAAAAAUGCAAGCUGCUUUGCCCAAUGCUAAAAUCCAUUCAUUUUACUAAUCAUGCAAUCAACCAAUCUCCAUUAUCUCCAGCUAGCUAGCUAUAAACAUGCUAUAGACUGGAGUGAAAGAGGGAGAGUGUGAGGUUGAGAGACAGAGAGAGAGAGAGAAAGAAAGAAAGAAAGAAAGAGAGAGAGAUUACUACACCCAGCCUUUUAUAAAGCCGUUUCUUUCAUUAUAACAGGUCUUUUCAUCAAAAUGACACAGAACCUUUAAAUUUGGGCAUAAUACUCCAGUACAGUACACAGCUAUAGCUUAAAAUGGAUUUAGAACCUGCUCCAGAAAGAAAACAAACUCCCUCGUUUGACACACAAAUUGUUUACGAUUCAUUAAAAAGCAAAAUUGCAUAUCACAGUGCUGGCAGCUGAGUCCAUAUGGGUGCAAGGGGUAUUCACUCAUCUCUUUGUAUGCUGGCAGUACCAAACCGAAGUUUAGCACUGUGCAGCUGAGAUUUUGUGCAGCCAGACGAUGCAUGAGCUUUUGGAAAUCCUAUAAUCCUGGCUUCAAUCAAGAUGAUCUGCUGUUGCUGAAGGCGUAAACAAGGAGAGAAGCACCAUGUGACCACUGCUUCUGCACCUUCAAGGACUCCCGAGCCAGAACGAGUGCAACAGUAAAGCCUCUACUGGAUACUCAAGAUGACACACACAUUUUGGAUGAUCUUGCUGAACCCCGGGAAAGGAGUCCUUUCCCCUUCGCAGAAAAGUUGGUUUUGGGCUCUGCUUUUCCCCCCGUAGCUCUGUUGUGUGUAUUUCUCCCCACUCCUCUCGCAUUCCUCUGAUUUUCUUCCUGCCAUCUGUAUUCCCCUUUUGCCUCAUCUGAAACAAGCAUCAAGAUCUUGUUUCUGACAGAACGAUCUGUCAAUAUGGAAACACACUGACAUCACAGACAGUGCUGUGACUUCAUGUCUGAAAGAAACAGGAGGAACAGAUGAAAGGAGGGAAGGGGAAGGAAUGACACAUACAAACAUUUUUAAAAAAUAAGUAAAAAUCCUUCUCUAUCAAGCCCAAAUGUAAAGGAACAUAAACCAGAUUUAUUUUUGAGUCUAAAUAUAACCAACUAUUUCCUAAUCUGUGACCAUAACUCAGCACAACAUUUCAACGUGCUUUUCACCCGAGAGAGGUACCUGUCCCCUAGGAACAUGUGCUUUGCUGGCUCAAGGCCCGUGUGACAGUCGUGUUGACCUCUUGAGAAGGACUAAACAGGGACUAACCUGGAAAAAAGCUAAUAUCAAGCAUAGUGCUCACACCUGGGAGAAGCCUUUAGAGGGAAAGAAGGCCUCCUGCCCUGGAUCAAUCUAAAACAUUUAGAUCUGAAACUAUUGUCCUGAGUGGCUGAUACCGCACAUAAAGAAUAACUGUUGCGUCACCUGAAACCUAAUUACUAGGUGAGCCCCUUCUUUGGGUUUUAUCUUUUCUCAGUGUCUUCAGACGUGCAACUGGACACUGACUAUCUUUGUUCUGGGGCAAUAUCUGAGCUAUGACUAAGCUGAUAUUAACACAAAAUGUAACUUCAUUCUAAAUUUUAUUUAUUUUAUUUCUGUAUUUGGAAACAUCUGAUAUAGUUGCAUACAGUGCCUAUCUUUAUGAUGUCCUGUUUUGCCAUAAGUAAAAUAUAUUUCAGUCUCUCUGGUUCUGUGGGAAAUAGCCCUUCUGGAUCUCUCCAUGCAAGGUUGCUCCAUGUAGGUAAAGUAGGAAGAGGGGUGCAGAAGGACCCAAAGACCACAAGUGGGAACUGUGGGAUAGCUCCAGACAGUUUUUAUAUCUGAAGUCUACAAGGUAUGGGAAGAGAGAGAGGCCAGCAGGUAAAACUCAUGAAGCUCUGCACACUUCUAUCCAUAGCUUGGUCAGACAUUGGAGGCUGAGUACUGGUGCAUACUGUAUACAUAACUAGGGGAGACUAUUUCUUUAGAUAGGCAUAGGUAAGCCUCAUAGCCUCUUGAGUUUGUAGGUAAAACUGAAGACUACUUUUGGAUUCAAAAAUUGCAGUGUCACAUGCCAUAGGAUACUGAUCUCUGAAUCUACGCUUUUGAUUUUUACUUAUUUUUCCAAUUUCUGAUAAGGAUUUGCUGCAAGUGGUUCAUAGUGGAAAAAAGAUUUUACUGUUAAUCAGGAGAGAUAGGGAAGUCCUCAAAGUCUCCCUGAAAAUGGUUUUCUUGCAUAGGACCUAAUGAGUCCAAUAGUGCGGAUGGACUUUCAGCCAGCAGUGCUAAAUCAGUGCCUUUUAUCAUCUAUAGCUACACAAAAGACUGCAACUACUUGUUCCUAAUGAGAGACUUCUGUAAUGCUCUCUGCUUAGGGCUAUUCUUGAGGAAUAAGGAAUCCAAGACAGAUGUGGCAGUGACCAUCAUAUUAAUCUGAAAGACCAAAUCCCUCAAAGCAAAGGAAAUAUGAACAAUUAAAACAAUAAAUACACUGAAUCAUAUGAAUCUCCAGUGCCCUCAGUUCUAACUCCAGUUCCACACAUUAAUUUGUAAUUCUUGAGCCAUGAAUAAGUAAAUCCUCUUUUGUUUAGAGAACAAGAUUAAAAUGCUACUAAUAUUUAAACCACUCCUGUUAGCUGGCUCAUAUGUCUGUCUAAAUACCUGACUAUUUCUCUGCUUUACCUUCUGAGUGUCAAAUUUGUCCUCCUGAUAAUACCAGCUGAAUGGCAGCCAGCAGGCUGAGCACCAUAGGGAAAUACCUAGAAAAGUGGUUUUGGAAGGGCUGAGCUGCACAUAAGUUUUACAACCAAGUCUGGUAUAAUCCACUGAAGUGGCUCUGGAUUAUUGAACAUUUUACAGCAAGAUAACGCUUUGGUGACCCUAAAAUAUAUUUACACUCUCAUGUGAUCUAUGCCACUGGACAUCACAUCAAGGAAGAGAAAUCACUGAACGUAGUUUGUUCAAAACACAUUGCUAUAAACAUCCUUUUUUCAGUUAACUGGUCAUGCAGACAAAGGAACUUUGGAGAUGAAGGCUGUAGCACUUGUCACUUGUGUGGUUCCUUUUAUUUUUCAAAACAGGUUUCAAAAAUCUGCAGGAGUCUUAACUGAUCCAAAAAAAAAAAAAAAAAAACAAACCCAAAAAAACACCAACAAGGGAAAAAAAAACGUUUCAACUAAUCAAGUCGAAAAGUUUUCGUGAGUUUAGGACUAAUGAAAAUCUAUUACUUCAGACUUUUCUAAAUCAAAUCUAAUUCAAAAUGUGGUAUACUGCUAAGCA
Tyto alba (common barn owl) is the source of this 3393-nucleotide long non-coding RNA. RefSeq lists it as uncharacterized. NCBI's taxonomy places the organism in Eukaryota, Metazoa, Chordata, Aves, Strigiformes, Tytonidae. The transcript is spliced from 3 exons. The record is from RefSeq and is a predicted model, not a curated record.